RNAcentral lists this ribosomal RNA (505 nucleotides) under uncultured bacterium. RNAcentral describes it as "partial 16S ribosomal RNA". It matches the Rfam family "Bacterial small subunit ribosomal RNA", at positions 28 to 507 of the family's 1533-position model. The record is from RNAcentral.
GACGAACGCUGGCGGCGUGCCUAAUACAUGCAAGUAGAACGCACAGUUUAUACCGUAGCUUGCUACACCAUAAACUGUGAGUUGCGAACGGGUGAGUAACGCGUAGGUAACCUGCCUGGUAGCGGGGGAUAACUAUUGGAAACGAUAGCUAAUACCGCAUAAUAUUAAUUAUUGCAUGAUAAUUGAUUGAAAGAUGCAAUUGCAUCACUACCAGAUGGACCUGCGUUGUAUUAGCUAGUAGGUGAGGUAACGGCUCACCUAGGCGACGAUACAUAGCCGACCUGAGAGGGUGAUCGGCCACACUGGGACUGAGACACGGCCCAGACUCCUACGGGAGGCAGCAGUAGGGAAUCUUCGGCAAUGGACGAAAGUCUGGCCGAGCAACGCCGCGUGAGUGAAGAAGGUUUUCGGAUCGUAAAGCUCUGUUGUAAGAGAAGAACGGGUGUGAGAGUGGAAAGUUCACACUGUGACGGUAUCUUACCAGAAAGGGACGGCUAACUACGUG